This is a non-coding RNA of Echinostoma caproni, 82 nucleotides long. The record is from Rfam. NCBI's taxonomy places the organism in Eukaryota, Metazoa, Platyhelminthes, Trematoda, Plagiorchiida, Echinostomatidae.
GGCCUCGUAGCUCAGCUGGUAGAGCAUGCGCGUACAAAGCGUAGGCGGCGUCCGUGCGUGGGUUCGAAUCCCACCGAGGCUA